UGGAAAAAAAGUAGAAGAAUGUUGUUCCAGUUUUGCACGAAAUACUUUUCAUCACAUUGAUAUUUGUUAUUUUGGCAUUCAGAGAUCUUUUUAAAAUUUUCAUCUACUGCAAUGAUCUCGAUGUUUAUCACGGGUUUUCUAAUCUACAGUUCAAGCUCAAAGAUGUCAUUCACCUGCAUAGAAAGAUCUCUAGGAAAUUGUCUUUGUCAUUGUUGGAGACUUAGAAGGCAAAAAAAUGUCGCCGUGAUUCGAAAAAAGUAAAUGACCCUUUUGCAUACACGUGCUCAUCGUACUCGACCCUCGAGCUAAACAUAUA
Trichogramma pretiosum is the source of this 316-nucleotide long non-coding RNA. RefSeq lists it as uncharacterized. The transcript has 3 exons. The record is from RefSeq and is a predicted model, not a curated record. NCBI's taxonomy places the organism in Eukaryota, Metazoa, Arthropoda, Insecta, Hymenoptera, Trichogrammatidae.